GAGCUCCAGGAAAGGCACAAAGCUACAAAGAGAAACCCUGUCUCGAAAAAACCAAAAAAAAAAAAAAAAAAAAAAAAUUAAAUCUUUAAGCCAGUUUUUAAUUAUUAAAUUCUGACACAAAUUCAGCUUUUGAUUCCAUAAACAACUUGAUAACAUGUCCUAAACCAUAAAAUAUUUUCAACAUUUGGUCUCAACUUAGCCAUCUUACUUUUGAAAAGUAAAUGAUGUCUCCAUAGUCAACAUCAACACUUUAGAGGAAUUCCUGAAUUGGCUAUGAUUCGAUCAUUUGCCCUUCCAAGAUUCACAGGUUGGUGACAAUAUACACGAUAUUGUCCAUUUAUAACGAUUUUGUGCAUACAUUUCAUUGUUGUGUUUUGCAGUCAUACUUCUUCAAACAUGGAUUUGGGACAAUGGUUACACUGUCUUCUGUUACAUUACAGCCCCUGCUCCUUUAUCUUCUGUCUCCAAGGCAUUAGCAGUAACUCCUAGACACGUUGACAACAGACAAGAAAAUUCCUUUAGCUUAUUUUUUACUGCUUGGUAUAAAUCUUUUGAUCUGGUUGUCUUCUAAUAGCAUGAAAGAAGCCAUUUCUUCAGGAGCAUGAUGGUCAUAAAUGUUUAACAACAACGGCAAGAUGAACUGUGUUUACGGCAUCAGUGUGUCGACCCAUCAUUUAAGCAUCAAAUGUAAAAUCUACUCCUCAUAAUUCAUGCCAUCCGGUUUCCUCAAAUUGCAUGCUUAUAGUCUGGUGAAACAAACUGAUUUUAGAACUAUUACUCUUAAAGGGGAUAUCAAACCAUGUUCCAUUCAUGAUUUAUUAAACUUACCACCAGUAAACAGUUCUGAUAUUUUUUCGCCAUUAAAUAUGCUAACACAUAAAUAGAUUUUGCAAUAAAAUCCCUCUGAGCUGUUACUUAGACAAGUUUUCUGUUGAAACGGGAGAUUUAUGUUUUUCAGUUCAGUUGUUUUGUCCUAAUGAUUCAGUCUGUGGAACACACUGAAUUUGCCAGCUUGGCUUUGCAUACAAUGUCUGUCUUCUCAAAUUAAGUCCAAAUUCCCUGCAAUUUAAGUCGAGUGCCUCAAAAUCAUCUUUUUAAGCAACCCUCCUUCAUGCAUAAUUUUUCUUUUGUGAUAUUGUAGGGGCUAUGUUGGAGAUGAAAAAUAAUUGACAAGGGUUAUGUUUGCUUAUAUCAUGAAAAGUAAUUGGCAGGAAAAUAGGAAGGUUUGGGGCUUUCCCAUCUCACCUGUGGAUGUAGCAUGAAGCACAGGGCUGACUGUAGAGCAUGGUGGGUGAUGUGUGGAGUUCAGUGAGGUGUCAAGUAACCCUAGUGACAUAGGAGAAUAUUUUCCUGUCUUCUAAACAGUAUUCAACGCCUAUUGUUUACAAUAGGAGACUGCAUCAUUAUUGAUCACCACUGUGUCUCACUCACCAAGUCACUAUGAGCACAUGUAACCUAUGAUGGUACCACUUCAAGUGUCUGCACUCAGAAGACAGCAUCCUGGAAAUGCAUACCACCAUCAAACUGAAGCCUUUGUAAAUACAUUCAUAGCUGUAUCAACAAUUUAGUGUAUGCUCUUAUUUUCUAAUUCCAUCAUUUCUGGCUCAUUAUUUCCAUAUAUAGGUUCAUAUUUCCAAUAUAGGUUCAGCAAAAAAGUCUAUUACCCAAGAUAUAAAUAACAUGGACUGCAUUCAUUUUUUCAUUUCAAGCUGUACUCUAUUGUGGCAGCUUCUAAUUUUGUCAUAAUAUAUAUAUAUAAUUCUAAAUAUAUAUUUGAUGUUAGUUUAAUGUCGUCCCCCCCCCCAAGAUUAUAACUGUUUCUUGUCUUUACAAAUAUAUCUUCUGAUGUUUACUGGGCAGAUUAAAUUGCUUGGCUACACUUGCCCUCACAGCAGAAUGAACCAAAGAAAUUCAAAUAUUUUAGCAUGUGUAAACUAGCUACUGAGAAAAAAAGGAACUGGCAUCCUUAUGAAAUGUAGAGUAGAACUGGCCGUGGUGGCGCAUACCUUUAAAUCCCUCCAGAGGCAGGUGGAUCUCUGAAUUCAAGGCCAGCCUGGUCUAAAAGUGAGUUCUAGGACAGCCAGGGCUGCACAGAGAGACACUGUCUUAAAAAAACAAAAACAAAAGGAAAAAGAAAAGAAAUGUAGAAUAUGUACAUUUCUUGGAUUUAGUCAAUGGAGUGAUGGCUUUUUUAAAACAUAACUUUUUAUUGAGUCUUUGGGUAUUUCACAUCAUGUACCCUAAUCCCACUCGUUUUCUUGUCUUUCCAUAUCUGCCCUUCAUCCUUGUAGCCUACCCCAAUCAAAGUUAAUUAAAAAAAAAAAAAACCCGCUCCUCUGCCAAAUACAGUGUUCCGUGCAUGUACCAUUCCACUCCUCUGUCUUCCCCAAUCUCCAUCACAGAAUCUUUCAUUGUAGUGGCAUUCGAAGUCGCCAUGUGUCACAUAGUGUUUCCUUUGCCCCAUCAGCCCACACUGCUUUUCUUUCAAAUGUUUACUGCAAUUAGUCAUUAGGGUUAGUUCAAGGCCUUUGGCUUCUGCUACUACAUCAAUCCUGGACCCUCAGAGAAACUCUCAGACUUCCUGCUCUUGCCCUGGGUUGUGGGGAGAUCCUGCAGUUAUGGAUUGGCAGGGCCGACCCCUUCCGCACGAUCCAGCGGCUCCUCAAUGGAGAAGAUGUUGGGGUGGGUCAAUUCAAAGCCCCAGCUCUGGGCCUGGGUGGUAGUUGAAUUGGUCAGCCUGCCAGAAUUCCCUCAUCCACACCAUUAUAGCCAGCUCCCCCUCUGCCCAGGCGAGGGACAGGACCAGCUCUCCAGCAUCUGCAUCCCUUUGGGCAAGAGGUUGGGUCAGCUUUCCCAUGCCCAUGUCAUAGGGGCUGGCUCUCCAGUGUCUCGCCGCCAAGGCCAGUUCUCCCACACUGCCCAGACGAGGGAGCAGGACCAGCUCUCCCACCAGCAACAUCAACAAGAGUUCUGUUACAUGGUGUAAUCAAGAAGAGAUAUCAUUUUCCAGCUCAGAACGUGGAAGGAGACCCUGCUGGUCCCUGCCUCGGUCUCCACGCAAUUAAUAUAUUUACACAGUUAAAGUGAAGAAACAACCUAGGACAGUAACAAAGGAAGCCACAGGAGAGAGUCCUGGUCCUUCAACACAAGGCUGGCUACAUGGCCAAGACUCUCAGUGAUUCGUACUCUCAAGAACAGACUGUUGACUGGCUGCUUGUUUAUGAUUUAUGAGCUCCGACAGAAGCGUGCAUAAUGACCUGAUGUACCAAGAGUCUAGAAAAAGGAGUUUGUGCAGAAGCUUGUCAAGUUCCAUUACAGAUGUCCCCGGUCCUCAUGUUUCCUGUCACAAAUCCUGGGAGGUAAGAAGUGAUCGUCAGAUUCCAGAUGGACUUUGCUUAGAUUGGAAAGUAUUACAAAACACUGUAGAAAUGGAGUUCAAACAGCAAAAGGAAACUGGUCAGCACAGAAUGCGUCAUCGCAGGAAAGUGUUCCAGUUCACGGCAUCAGCUUUGAGAAGAUUCGGCUAAUUCCCUGUUAACUAACUUUAUUUGUGAAAGCUCAUUGAAUACAGUCAUUAGGAAUGUAAAUCAGAUCCUUCUGUAGGCAGUUUUUGAACUUUCUGAACAGAAAGAGAGACUCUUUUCUAUAUUACAUGCCUGACACUUGGUUGGAAAAGCUCAUUGA
Molecule: non-coding RNA, 3684 nt
Organism: Peromyscus maniculatus bairdii (prairie deer mouse)
Lineage: Eukaryota; Metazoa; Chordata; Mammalia; Rodentia; Cricetidae
Source: RefSeq, a predicted model, not a curated record